RNAcentral lists this ribosomal RNA (442 nucleotides) under uncultured bacterium. RNAcentral describes it as "partial 16S ribosomal RNA". It matches the Rfam family "Bacterial small subunit ribosomal RNA", at positions 338 to 795 of the family's 1533-position model. The record is from RNAcentral.
CCUACGGGUGGCAGCAGUGGGGGAUAUUGCACAAUGGGGGAAACCCUGAUGCAGCGACGCCGCGUGGGCGAAGAAGUAUUUCGGUAUGUAAAGCCCUAUCAGCAGGGAAGAAGAAAUCACUGUACCUGCGUACGACGCCCCGUCUAAAUACGUGCCAGCAGCCGCGGGAAUACGUAUGGUGCACGCGUUAUCCGGAUUUACUGGGUGUAAAGGGCGCGCAGGCGGCACGGCAAGCCUGAUGUGAAAGCCCGCGGCCCAACCGCGGGACUGCAUUGGGAACUGCCGGGCUGGAGUGCCGGAGGGGCAGGCGGAAUGCCUAGUGUAGCGGUGAAAUGCGGAGAUAUUAGGAGGAACACCAGUGGCGAAGGCGGCCUACUGGACGGUGACUGACGCUGAGGCUCGAAGGCGUGGGGAGCAAACAGGAUUAGAUACCCCUGUAGUC